UCCUCUCAGUCACUGUGACCCAGAAGCAGC
This 30-nucleotide non-coding RNA is filed under the name Rattus norvegicus (Norway rat). Lineage: Eukaryota; Metazoa; Chordata; Mammalia; Rodentia; Muridae. The record is from RNAcentral.